UACGGAAGGCAGCAGUGGGGAAUAUUGCACAAUGGGCGCAAGCCUGAUGCGGCCAUGCCGCGUGUAUGAAGAAGGCCUUCGGGUUGUAAAGUACUUUCAGUCGUGAGGAAGGUGUUAAGGUUAAUAACCUUAGCAAUUGACGUUAGCGACAGAAGAAGCACCGGCUAACUCCGUGCCAGCAGCCGCGGUAAUACGGAGGGUGCGAGCGUUAAUCGGAAUUACUGGGCGUAAAGGGCACGCAGGCGGUUAAUUAAGUUGGAUGUGAAAUCCCCGGGCUUAACCUGGGAAUGGCAUUCAAGACUGGUUAGCUAGAGUCUUGUAGAGGGGGUAGAAUUCCAUGUGUAGCGGUGAAAUGCGUAGAGAUGUGGAGGAAUACCGGUGGCGAAGGCGGCCCCUGGACAAAGACUGACGCUCAUGUGCGAAAGCGUGGGGAGCAAACGAGGGAUUAGAU
This 451-nucleotide ribosomal RNA is filed under the name uncultured bacterium. Its description in RNAcentral is "bacterial SSU rRNA". It matches the Rfam family "Bacterial small subunit ribosomal RNA", at positions 340 to 783 of the family's 1533-position model. The record is from RNAcentral.